ACACUUCUUUGUCAGUCGCAAGUCCGCCGCGCCGCUACCUGCACUUCUCGCGACCGAAUCUCCGCAUUUCUGCCGAGCGACCCUUGGAGCUUAAAUACUUGAAUAAAGGAUCGCGAAGGAACGCAGCCGUCGGGCUCCGCAGCGCGUGCGUCGUCCCCCAGGUGUGAGGGAAGAGAGAGAGCGAGCGACGAGGGGAGCGUGACCCCACUGACCCCCACCGACCCCCACCGACCCCCCUGCGCCCCCGCCCCGGCAGCAUGGCGUCGUCGGCACCAAGGCAACGCGGCGAGGGCCAACACGCGCCAGUACCGACCGAGAACCAGAAGCAGCUGCACGAUGCUCGCCGGACAGGCUCCCCGUCUCUCGUGACCGCUUCCUCGCCAGCGCCCACGACCACCACGCCCUCGAGAGCCCCAGCAGGCAGCGCCGACUGCACCCGCCGCAGCAACCACCCCAAGGCGCCCACAGAGGCUAGCGACGACGGCAAGGCUCCUACCGUGGCCGACACACGCGACGACCGCAGCGGGGAGGAUCGCCUGGACGACCACCACGAGCACGACCAGGAGGAAGAGCAGUGUCUGCUGGACAUGGACGCCUGCUUCAAGGCCUUCGACAAGGACGAGGAUGGAUUCCUCAGCCAGAACGAAUUCGCUGCCCUCUGCCGCGCCCUCUUCAGGAACGACCGGGGGAAGCCUUACCCCGUGGAGUCCUCGAUGCUGAACACCAUCUUCACCAUCUUCGAUACCAAUAAGGAUCACGUGAUCGACAAGGAGGAGUUCAGAUUCUGUUGGCAGAAAUGGAUCAAGGCGGUCGUGCGGCCAGUGUCGGCGCUCAUCGUGGUCGACGUCCAGAACGACUUCAUCCGGGUCGCUCGCCCUCAUCAACUGCCCCGCCGGACACCAUGGGGAGGAGGUCAUUCCUCCUAUCAACCGCCUCCUGAAUGAAGUGAAGUUCGACAUGGUGGUUUACUCCCUGGACUGGCACCCUGAGGAUCACGUGUCUUUCAUUGAUAACGUGAAGGACAGACCCAUUCACCACACUAGCGAGAUCUCGAGUGAAGAUGCGCAGGUGAAUGACACUGUCAUCUUCGACGUCAAUAACGACGGGAUCCCGAUGGAGCAGAGGCUGUGGCCGAGACACUGCGUGCAGAAGUCGUGGGGCGCGCAGCUCCACGACGACCUCAAGAUCGUCGAGGACUCCGUGCUCGUGUACAAGGGCACGGACCCCGAUACGGAUUCCUACAGCGUGUUCUGGGACAACAACAAGAAGAGCCAGACUUCCCUCAACGAAGAACUGCAGAAGAGGAACAUUACAGAUGUUUACAUCUGCGGCAUCGCCUAUGAUGUCUGCGUGUCCGCCACGACCGCGCACGCCAUAGAGGAGGGAUACCGGGCCCUCCUCAUCGACGACGGCUGCCGCGGGGUGUGCGACGCUGACAUCCAGGCCACGAAAGAGAGAACCACGUCCUCCAACGGCCUCGUCAUACACUCGUCGCAGGUCAAAAGCUUGGUGAGUGGGAGAGACAGGCCUCCAGUGCUGGCCUACAAACUUGCUCUGGAAAUUUCCAAGAAAAUGAAGAAGAAAUAAUAAAACUGAAGAACAACAAGGAAAUCGGGGAAAUGAAUGAAAAUCAUUGAUAAAGGAAUGUAAUAUGCUUUAUAUACGACAAAACGAGAUAACAGAGUUUAGUUGUCCAAUGCCAUUCGUAAGGAUGCUACUCUCUUAAUUGUAAUUUGAUUUAGAUAUGAUUUUUCUUCCUUUUUCAUUCUUUAUUUUUAUGGUUUGUAUUUUUUUUUUUUUUUUUUUUUUUUUUUUAAACCAUUAUCAGUCAACAAGUUCAUCGUCUUGUUUAUCUUUCUAUUGCAUCGAGUUUUAUCUAUUUAUCUGACUUCCGAAACAAAAGGAAAAAAUAUAUAUAUAUGAUUAAUUUUAAAUUAAUUUUAAAAGUAUAUUCCUCUGUUUCAUUUGUAAAUUCUAUCACUGUAUGAUAAAAGCUUCAUCGCCAUUGACAUUUCGAUAGAUCAUCCUUGUGAUUUCUCCAUCUGCUGGCCAUUUCCUCACACGGUCGUAAGGAUGAUAAGUAUAAAGCAAAAACAAAAUAAGUAAGGAAAUACAUACGAAAUAUAAGAUUUAAAAAAAAGAAAAAAUCUCCAUAGACCGUGUAUUUGCAACAAAUUCAAAUACUGAAGUUAAUAUUUUGUUUUGUUUUAUUUUUCAUCACUUUACAUAUCAAGAUAUAUUUAAAAAAGGAAUGAUUUGACCUAUUGACUAUUUCCUUCCAAAUAGGUAUUACUAACUAUGAAUUAUGAUAUCACGUACGUAAAUUUUUGCUGAAAUCACACAUUUCUGUACAUAUUCAUCAGAGUUCAAGCCUUCCAUACGAACCGGACAAUGAUUAGGAAAGUUUUUUACGAUGUGACAAUUAUAAACCUCAAAUAAUCUAAAUCAUAAGGAAUUAUCACGUAGAAUGGUUGAUGACUGAAACGGAAAAAAAUGAUAAAAUGGAUCCAGUAAAAAGGCAUACUAUAAUAGGUUAUUAGAUCAUGCUAAAAAAAAAGAAUCUGUUCACUCAGCCUGCUUGUACUGCAGCACGGUAAUUCGAAUCGCCUGAGGAAAAAUUCUAAAAAAGAGCAUUUGCUUCUCCGCAAAAGACAAGGUAGAUGUUGAGCAAGGCGGGUUCGUGACGUCAUAAAAAUGGCGGGAAAAUCUUUCAAAAACGCAGACGUCCCGCGUAGUAUUAAGCAGUCCCGAUAAUUAAAAAAAAAAGCCUUGUAGUUAAGUACAACACACAUGUAGGGGAAUAGCUGUUAGACAUUUUAUUUUGUCACAAUAUUUCUUUUAAUAAAAUUAGCGACAUUACAUUGUAAGUCCUUAAAAAAAACGUUCUCUGGAACCCAUCAAAAACAAAAAAUUCGAGUCUGGAUUUCUUGUCUUUAUAUCGAAUAAUUGAAUACUAAUCAUAGUGCAGUUGGCCAUAUUUAGCUCUGCAUUGUAUUACCCCAUAUCAUUGUUGUAUUAUUGUUAGCGAUUCCCUAUUCCUAGAUUAUGAAAUGUAUAUCAUGUUUUUUCUUUUCAUUAUUUACGUUUAAUAAAGUAUCUGGUAUUUCGA
Non-coding RNA from Penaeus vannamei (Pacific white shrimp), 3109 nucleotides. NCBI's taxonomy places the organism in Eukaryota, Metazoa, Arthropoda, Malacostraca, Decapoda, Penaeidae. The record is from RefSeq and is a predicted model, not a curated record.